GCUGGUGUGGCUCAGUGGUUGAGUGUCAACCUAUGAAUCAGGAGGUCACUGUUGAAUUCCCGAUCAGGGUACAUGUCCCAGUUGUGGGCCCGAUCCCCAGUAGGGAGAGUGCAAGAUGCAGCUGAUCAAAGA
Molecule: long non-coding RNA, 132 nt
Organism: Myotis brandtii (Brandt's bat)
Lineage: Eukaryota; Metazoa; Chordata; Mammalia; Chiroptera; Vespertilionidae
Exons: 3
Source: RefSeq, a predicted model, not a curated record